Non-coding RNA from Maylandia zebra (zebra mbuna), 2449 nucleotides. NCBI's taxonomy places the organism in Eukaryota, Metazoa, Chordata, Actinopteri, Cichliformes, Cichlidae. The record is from RefSeq and is a predicted model, not a curated record.
AUGUCUCUGUUUAUAGUCUGUAUAGUUUAUCUCCCCACGAAUACACUCAAAGUAGUCUUAAAAUAAAACCCACAAAACAGUUCAAGAUUUAAUACUUUUUAUUUGCUCAUUUAAUGCCAGUUGCCCUGUUUUUCUGUAUGUCACUCAUUCGCUUAUACUUGGGCAAAAAGGACCAAUUUGUACACUAGUAUAGUGUAUUUUUUCCCUCUAUCUCUCUAUGUCUGUCACACACAGAGACCAACACACAGACAUGUAUAUGCUCAUUAUUGCUGUUCAAACUGAUGGUCAAAUUUCCAAGCACCACCUGAACGCCUCAUCUGUUUUUAACCUAUCACUGGACCAACUGUCGUCAUUCCGCUUUGCUCUCUGCUGUGGUAAGUACAGUACACUCAGUACUGCAGUGUUUUAUUUUUAUGAUGGAAAAAAUACAUGUUUGACAUUUAAACUCACAUAUCAAGUCCAACAGAGUUAAAAACAAUUCAAAGAAGAAAGAAAGAAAAAAGAAUAACCUUCGCUAUCAUUUAUAUACGUUUAUUACGUUUUGCUGUUAGCAGCAGUGCUAACGCUAGCUUCAAUGCUAAUGCUAGCAACAAUGCUAACGCUAGCUAUAGUGCUAACACUAGCCUUAGCAGUUGUUAACUGACAAAAAUAAUAUUCCUGUGAUAUUUCUUGCCGGUCAGUGAGACAAAAGUAAGAAAUUAGCUUUAUUAUUGCCAUUGUGGCUCAGUUUUAACAGUAAGAGUGCUAGCGCUAGCAGCAUUGCUAGCGCUAGCAGCAUUGCUAACGCUAGCUGCAAUGCUAACGCUAGCUGCAAUGCUAACGCUAGCUGCAUUGCUAACACUAACUGAAGUGCUAAUGCUAGCCGGAAUGCUAGCGCUAGCAGCAAUGCUAAGGCUAGUAACAGUCUAACAGUAGCCUUACAUAAGUGGCAAUACUUCAGUUAACUAGUUUGAAUUGUAAAAUGACUGCUGUAUCAGUUGGUGUGCUAUAUUACUCUAUAAUUACCCUGCUGACUAGAAGUUCAGUGUAUCAUGUCGUGUGGGCUUUGUAUUUCUGUUAGUCUGAUAACACUGUACAGACAACUAACGUAUUAUUUCUCGUUUCUUUCAGGAACCUGACUGACACUGUGCUUUGCCUGAGUGUGUAGAAGAAGAAGAACAAGGACCAGAUCUCCAGUCUUCUCUCUCACAUCCCAACCCCCCAACCCCUCUAUCCUCUGUCCUGCUCCACCUAUUGUCUCUGCCUUCUUUCCAUCUGUAUUUCACUCUGUGGUUUGUGAGAAAUUUUGCCAAACCAACAAUCCUUUUGCGGUUUGAUUUAAAGCCGUGUCUCUCCUGCUCUGUCUGUUCUCUCUGCUAAAUUUUCUCUCUACCUGUUUUUCACUCUUGGCUUGCUGCUGAAAAACGCCAAGCGACACAGUCCUCCUGUGUCUUCUCCAAUCUUCACAUGUAAGAUCCAACAGUGUGAGGCACAUAGCAGCCAGAAACUGUAAUGCCACAGAACAGAGAGGCUUCAUCAUCACCAUCUUCAUCACCGUACGAUCAGAGCGUGAGACUUCACAUCUGGAGCACAGGAGACAUUCUGUGAUAAGUCUUCCUUCUAGCUUGUCCCACAAGCAGUCGGUGAGAUUUACUCACAACAAAAAGGGUUAAUGACAUAAUUUCCAUGAAAACAUGUGUUCAUUCUUUGUAAACUGUUUAAAUUGUGUUUUCACUUGACCUUAGGAGUGUUAGAGUGUAUUGUAAUGUCUGUACUCAGGUGUUUCCCUCUGUGAUCCAUCCCCUUCAGAGCUGAGACACUCAGGACUGAACAGACUGCACAGUUUCUGUGACUGAGCCUCCAAAACACCUUCUUUGAAACCACUCAUGAUAGAAGGGCUUUAUAUUUGCAGCAGCACUACUACAGUUGGCAGGAAUGUUGCUGCAGGAAAACAUCCCUGGAGAUCACCAUCAUUGUCAGACUGACUGUGCCUCCUCUGUGCAGUGUCAAGAUCCUCCCUAAAUGAGUGUUUCUCAGCUAUCCUGCUUCUGUGCUGCUUGCCACACAUCAAACUCUGGCCGGAUGACAGGGAGGAUCCACUCUGAAGUCACUGGACAUUAUGAGGAUCAUAUGGGACUUCAUAGUUUCACAGUAACAUUGUGCUCUGUGAUUACAGGUUUUAAAUGGAUACAAUGACUGCCUCUCUCUGAUCAACAGGCUAAAGGAUUGUUUUCAUUGUUAGUGCUCUGUACAAUGUAUGCUUAUUUAGUAUUUCAUCACAGAGCAAACCUUUAUUUAUUUAACAUAUUUUUAUUUUGUUUUAAUGUUGAAUUAACUGUAGGGAUUUUUUUAAGUGGGCACUCGGGAUGUCAUAUGACCAGAAAUGUGGUAACUGGAAUUCAACAGUAUGGAAGAAAAAAUCUGCUAAGAACAAAACACACACAAAACCCCCAAGAAAAUUCAAAUUCAU